Molecule: ribosomal RNA, 446 nt
Filed under: Fejervarya sp. hpB
Lineage: Eukaryota; Metazoa; Chordata; Amphibia; Anura; Dicroglossidae
Description: partial 12S rRNA
Source: RNAcentral
AACCCUAAAAAGUUCUAAAAGCAAAAAGGUUUGGUCCUAGCCUUACUAUCAGUUACCCCUCAACUUACACAUGCAAGUCUCAGCACCCCCGUGAGGAAGCCCUUAAACCCUUCACCAGGAUAAGGAGCCGGUAUCAGGCCCAAUUUUUGCCCAUGACACCUAGCCCCCGCCACGCCCCCAAGGGUUGUCAGCAGUGAUAAACAUUAUCCAUAAGCGAUAGCUUGACUUAGUUAGAGGGAAGAUAGUUGGCCAACUCGGUGCCAGCCGCCGCGGUUAGACCCACAAACUAAAAUUGAUAGUCAUCGGCGUUAAGCGUGAUUAUAGCUACUAUUGAAUUAGAGUAAAACUCCUUGCCCAGCUGUGAAAAGCAUGCAUUCCGGAAUCCUAUGAACGAAAGUCACUCUAACUAACGCUUGAACACACGACAGCUAAGAACACAAACUGGG